Molecule: ribosomal RNA, 260 nt
Filed under: Proteus mirabilis
Lineage: Bacteria; Pseudomonadati; Pseudomonadota; Gammaproteobacteria; Enterobacterales; Morganellaceae
Description: partial 23S ribosomal RNA
Rfam family: Bacterial large subunit ribosomal RNA
Source: RNAcentral
UGAAGCCAGUCGAAGAUACCAGCUGGCUGCAACUGUUUAUUAAAAACACAGCACUGUGCAAACACGAAAGUGGACGUAUACGGUGUGACGCCUGCCCGGUGCUGGAAGGUUAAUUGAUGGGGUCAGCCGCAAGGCGAAGCUCCUGAUCGAAGCCCCAGUAAACGGCGGCCGUAACUAUAACGGUCCUAAGGUAGCGAAAUUCCUUGUCGGGUAAGUUCCGACCUGCACGAAUGGCGUAAUGAUGGCCAGGCUGUCUCCAC